GAUGAACGCUGGCGGCGUGCUUAACACAUGCAAGUCGAACGGGAAUUAUUUUAUUGAAACUUUGGUCGAUUUAAUUUAAUUCUAGUGGCGGACGGGUGAGUAACGCGUGGGUAACCUGCCUUAUACAGGGGGAUAACAGUCAGAAAUGGCUGCUAAUACCGCAUAAGCGCACAGAGCUGCAUGGCUCAGUGUGAAAAACUCCGGUGGUAUAAGAUGGACCCGCGUUGGAUUAGCUGGUUGGUGGGGUAACGGCCCACCAAGGCGACGAUCCAUAGCCGGCCUGAGAGGGUGAACGGCCACAUUGGGACUGAGACACGGCCCAGACUCCUACGGGAGGCAGCAGUGGGGAAUAUUGCACAAUGGGGGAAACCCUGAUGCAGCGACGCCGCGUGAAGGAAGAAGUAUCUCGGUAUGUAAACUUCUAUCAGCAGGGAAGAUAGUGACGGUACCUGACUAAGAAGCCCCGGCUAACUACGUG
Molecule: ribosomal RNA, 478 nt
Filed under: uncultured bacterium
Lineage: Bacteria
Description: partial 16S ribosomal RNA
Rfam family: Bacterial small subunit ribosomal RNA
Source: RNAcentral